GAGUUUGAUCCUGGCUCAGGAUGAACGCUAGCGGCAGGCUUAACACAUGCAAGUCGAGGGGUAACAGGGAUUGCUUGCAAUCCGCUGACGACCGGCGCACGGGUGCGUAACGCGUAUGCAACCUACCUUUUACUGGGGGAUAGUCAAGAGAAAUUUUGAAUAAUACCCCAUACGAUCUGAUUCACUCCUGUGAAACAGAAGAAGACUCCGAUGUAAAAGAUGGGCAUGCGUCCUAUUAGUUUGUUGGUGAGGUAACGGCUCACCAAGACUACGAUAGGUAGGGGUCCUGAGAGGGAGAUCCCCCACACUGGUACUGAGACACGGACCAGACUCCUACGGGAGGCAGCAGUGAGGAAUAUUGGACAAUGGAGGCAACUCUGAUCCAGCCAUGCCGCGUGCAGGAAGACGGCCCUAUGGGUUGUAAACUGCUUUUAUACAGGAAGAAACGUUAGUACGUGUACUAGCCUGACGGUACUGUAAGAAUAAGGAUCGGCUAACUCCGUGCCAGCAGCCGCGGUAAUACGGAGGAUCCAAGCGUUAUCCGGAAUCAUUGGGUUUAAAGGGUCCGCAGGCGGUCUAAAAAGUCAGAGGUGAAAUCCUAUCGCUCAACGAUGGAACUGCCUUUGAUACUGUUAGACUUGAGUUAUUGUGAAGUAGUUAGAAUGUGUAGUGUAGCGGUGAAAUGCAUAGAUAUUACACAGAAUACCGAUUGCGAAGGCAGAUUACUAACAAUAUACUGACGCUCAGGGACAAAAGCGUGGGUAGCGAACAGGAUUAGAUACCCUGGUAGUCCACGCCGUAAACGAUGGUCACUAGCUGUUUGAUGCACAUUGGUGUGUUGAGUGGCUAAGCGAAAGUGAUAAGUGACCCACCUGGGGAGUACGCUCGCAAGAGUGAAACUCAAAGGAAUUGACGGGGGCCCGCACAAGCGGUGGAGCAUGUAGUUUAAUUCGAUGAUACGCGAGGAACCUUACCAGGGCUUAAAUGUAAGUUGCACGGAUCAGAGAUGAUCCUUUCUUCGGACUACUCACAAGGUGCUGCAUGGUUGUCGUCAGCUCGUGCCGUGAGGUGUCAGGUUAAGUCCUAUAACGAGCGCAACCCCUAUCGUUAGUUGCCAGCAAGUGAAGUUGGGUACUCUAGCGAGACUGCCGGUGCAAACCGAGAGGAAGGUGGGGAUGACGUCAAAUCAUCACGGCCCUUACGUCCUGGGCUACACACGUGCUACAAUGGCCGGUACAGAGAGCAGCCACUACGCGAGUAGGAGCGAAUCUUCAAAGCCGGUCUCAGUUCGGAUCGCAGUCUGCAACUCGACUGCGUGAAGCUGGAAUCGCUAGUAAUCGCAUAUCAGCCAUGAUGCGGUGAAUACGUUCCCGGGCCUUGUACACACCGCCCGUC
This 1395-nucleotide ribosomal RNA is filed under the name uncultured marine bacterium. RNAcentral describes it as "bacterial SSU rRNA". It matches the Rfam family "Bacterial small subunit ribosomal RNA". The record is from RNAcentral.